This 500-nucleotide ribosomal RNA is filed under the name uncultured Glomeromycotina. Its description in RNAcentral is "partial small subunit ribosomal RNA". It matches the Rfam family "Eukaryotic small subunit ribosomal RNA", at positions 591 to 1092 of the family's 1831-position model. Lineage: Eukaryota; Fungi; Glomeromycota. The record is from RNAcentral.
CCAAUAGCGUAUAUUAAAGUUGUUGCAGUUAAAAAGCUCGUAGUUGAAUUUCGGGGUUAGUAGGUUGGUCAUGCCUCUGGUAUGUACUGGUCUCACUGAUUCCUCCUUCCUGAUGAACCGUAAUGCCAUUAAUUUGGUGUUGCGGGGAAUUUGGACUGUUACUUUGAAAAAAUUAGAGUGUUUAAAGCAAGCUAACGCUUGAAUACAUUAGCAUGGAAUAAUGAAAUAGGACGUUCGAUCCUAUUUUGUUGGUUUCUAGGAUUGACGUAAUGAUUAAUAGGGAUAGUUGGGGGCAUUAGUAUUCAAUUGUCAGAGGUGAAAUUCUUGGAUUUAUUGAAGACUAACUACUGCGAAAGCAUUUGCCAAGGAUGUUUUCAUUAAUCAAGGACGAAAGUUAGGGGAUCGAAGACGAUCAGAUACCGUCGUAGUCUUAACCAUAAACUAUGCCGACUAGGGAUCGGAUGAUGUUAAUUUUUUAAUGACUCAUUCGGCGCCUUACG